RNAcentral lists this ribosomal RNA (432 nucleotides) under uncultured bacterium. Its description in RNAcentral is "bacterial SSU rRNA". It matches the Rfam family "Bacterial small subunit ribosomal RNA", at positions 957 to 1391 of the family's 1533-position model. The record is from RNAcentral.
GAACGCGAAGAACCUUACCCGGGCUUGAACUAAGAGUGACAGAUUUAGAGAUAGAUUUUUCUUCGGACACUCUUGGAGGUGCUGCAUGGUUGUCGUCAGCUCGUGCCGUGAGGUGUCGGCUUAAGUGCCAUAACGAGCGCAACCCUUUUCCUUGGUUGCCAUCAGGUAAUGCUGGGCACUCCAGGGAUACUGCCAUCGUAAGAUGUGAGGAAGGUGGGGAUGACGUCAAAUCAGCACGGCCCUUACGUCCGGGGCUACACACGUGUUACAAUGGGGGGUACAGGAGGUCGCUACCUGGUGACAGGAUGCUAAUCUCCAAAACCUCUCUCAGUUCGGAUUGGAGUCUGCAACCCGACUCCAUGAAGCUGGAUUCGCUAGUAAUCGCGCAUCAGCCAUGGCGCGGUGAAUACGUUCCCGGGUCUUGUACACACC